This 364-nucleotide ribosomal RNA is filed under the name uncultured Streptomyces sp. RNAcentral describes it as "bacterial SSU rRNA". It matches the Rfam family "Bacterial small subunit ribosomal RNA", at positions 505 to 865 of the family's 1533-position model. The record is from RNAcentral. Lineage: Bacteria; Bacillati; Actinomycetota; Actinomycetes; Kitasatosporales; Streptomycetaceae.
GUGCCAGCCGCUGCGGUAACACGUAGGGUGCGAGCGUUGUCCGGAAUUAUUGGGCGUAAAGAGCUCGUAGGCGGCUUGUCACGUCGGAUGUGAAAGCCCGGGGCUUAACCCCGGGUCUGCAUUCGAUACGGGCAGGCUAGAGUUCGGUAGGGGAGAUCGGAAUUCCUGGUGUAGCGGUGAAAUGCGCAGAUAUCAGGAGGAACACCGGUGGCGAAGGCGGAUCUCUGGGCCGAUACUGACGCUGAGGAGCGAAAGCAUGGGAGCGAACAGGAUUAGAUACCCUGGUAGUCCAUGACCGUAAACGUUGGGAACUAGGUGUGGGCGACAUUCCACGUCGUCCGUGCCGCAGCUAACGCAUUAACGU